This 169-nucleotide unclassified non-coding RNA is filed under the name uncultured Agaricales. RNAcentral describes it as "sequence contains ITS1". The record is from RNAcentral. Lineage: Eukaryota; Fungi; Basidiomycota; Agaricomycetes; Agaricales.
UUGAAUCCUCAGGAUGUUGCUGGCCUCUCGAGGCAUGUGCACUCCACCUUUUCAAUACACCUGUGAACUUAUUGUAGGCGGCAGAUGUCAUGUCUGUCACCUACGUUUUUACAAACCCCUUACAAGUUAUUGAAUGUCUAAACAAUGGCUUUGGCCAAUAAACAUAAUA